RNAcentral lists this ribosomal RNA (346 nucleotides) under Asterina pseudoexigua. RNAcentral describes it as "partial 12S ribosomal RNA". It matches the Rfam family "Bacterial small subunit ribosomal RNA", at positions 866 to 1377 of the family's 1533-position model. Lineage: Eukaryota; Metazoa; Echinodermata; Asteroidea; Valvatida; Asterinidae. The record is from RNAcentral.
CACACGCCCGAGAACUACGAACUAAAGUUUAAAACUCAAAGGACUUGGCGGUUUUUUAGAUCUCUCUGGAGGAGCUUGCCACCAAACCGAUAAUCCACGAAAAACCUUACCAGUCUUAGCAUACUCAACCUGUAUACCAUCGUCGUCAGCCUACUUCUUAAGAAUAGUAUGCAGUAAGAACUCUACUUCAUUACGUCAGAUCGAGGUGCAGUUUAUAAACUGGAGGUGAGUGAGCUACAAUAUUCCCCCAAAAAACACAAUUAUGAAAAGUAUUAAUGAAAAACAAACUUGAAAUAGGAUUCAGCAGUAAUGUUAAACUAAGAAAAUCAACAUGAAAACCCCCACA